GUGGGGAAUUUUGGACAAUGGGCGCAAGCCUGAUCCAGCAAUGCCGCGUGCAGGAAGAAGGCCUUCGGGUUGUAAACUGCUUUUGUACGGAACGAAACGGUCCGGGUUAAUACCCUGGGCUAAUGACGGUACCGUAAGAAUAAGCACCGGCUAACUACGUGCCAGCAGCCGCGGUAAUACGUAGGGUGCAAGCGUUAAUCGGAAUUACUGGGCGUAAAGCGUGCGCAGGCGGUUUUGUAAGACAGGCGUGAAAUCCCCGGGCUCAGCCUGGGAAUUGCGCUUGUGACUGCAAGGCUGGAGUGCGGCAGAGGGGGAUGGAAUUCCGCGUGUAGCAGUGAAAUGCGUAGAUAUGCGGAGGAACACCGAUGGCGAAGGCAAUCCCCUGGGCCUGCACUGACGCUCAUGCACGAAAGCGUGGGGAGCAAACAGGAUUAGAAACCCUGGUAGUCC
This 450-nucleotide ribosomal RNA is filed under the name uncultured bacterium. Its description in RNAcentral is "partial 16S ribosomal RNA". It matches the Rfam family "Bacterial small subunit ribosomal RNA", at positions 354 to 796 of the family's 1533-position model. The record is from RNAcentral.